UAUCGCCUACGGUACCUGCUUUCUCUUCGACACCAGUGCUGUGCAUCCAUUCGAGGUAGACAGGAAGCGACUCUCGAGGAGGAACUCGUACAGACUAUUCUACUGUUUCGACAUUGCAGGGCCGUCAGUUCGCAGCUGGUUUCACAAUUCAGCGGCUCAGUCGCUCGGCUUCCUCUGUUGUUGUGAGGUGACUUGAGAGUUCUGUGAAGAUGGCGUGUACAUUUCGUGGUGAAUCCACCGUCCUCCGUUUUUGCCUAACUACCUUUGACUCGUGCUCUGGAUGGCCUGGCUGAGUGACUGAGUGACUGCCUUGCUGUAGCCCCUACGCGAGUGACGGACUUUCUAGAUUCCGACGGCAAGCACGCUGCCAUUAUCAGCUACCUUACUUAGUACAAUUCAACAUGUCUCCAGCAUCAGUAACACGAGACCAUUCAGAAGAUAUUACAAG
Molecule: long non-coding RNA, 448 nt
Organism: Sycon ciliatum
Lineage: Eukaryota; Metazoa; Porifera; Calcarea; Leucosolenida; Sycettidae
Exons: 3
Source: RefSeq, a predicted model, not a curated record